AAUUAUCUUCCAAGGUAUAACAGUUAGUGUUUACUAAAUAUUUGAAAACUAUAGUUUUACAACUGCCAAAUUUCAAUCUCAAACAUGGUGUAUAAUACCUAAUGGACACAAUAAUUUUCAAAUAGCAUUAAAUAAUCGUUAAAAGUCUCAAAGUUGGAUUUUAAGUCAUGGGGCAUCCUUCAUUUGCAAAAGAUACAUAUUUGGUUGGUGCACAAAUUCUUCCAUAAAGUUUAUUCAUACAUAGCCAAACGCAUCCCCUGCUUAACUGAAUUGCUGCAUGCUCAAUUAAAUAUCUAUUAAAAGGCUCCCAAUCCCAAAGAAAUCCGCAAUAUCAUAAUUAAUAUUAAAAUAUUAAUUAACAGGAAGCUCAAAUAAUGUUCUUGCAACCAAGUACCAGCUGCAGCCAAAGAAAAGAGCAAGCCAGCAAAAAAAAAACUUCUCCUGAAAUACAUAGCAUCAAGGAUUCCCUUAUGCAUCGUAUUGGUAACAUGGGUUCUUGUAACACCCCAGUUUGAAUUUCAAAGGCAAAUAUGUCUACAACUCACAUAUGAAUUUAAAUAACUCUUUACAAACGAUAAAAUUCGAGCCUCAAAUACAAAAGCCAGCGGAAUAACUUAAAAAUUUAGCCAAACAAUCUACCAUCCUCAAUUCAAAUCCAUCUUCUUACACAUCACAAAUCAAUCCUGACUUCUGAAAACUGAAUCACAAUAAACUAUAACGAGUACAAAACUCAGUAAGCAAACUAGUUUUUCUUAUACUAAAAUACAUACAUACUUAUACAUAAUGCAGAUGGAUAAUAUGCCAUGAUCUUUUGGAAAUACUGUAAAACAAAUUCAUCAAAAUCUCUUUCUGUCACUUUCAAACUUCCAUAUUUUCUUUCAAUAAAAUACAUAUUCUGCAAUUGUGGCACUUUGCGUUGUGCGUGGCACUUUGCGUCGCUCUGACUCUUAAGAGGUGGCCUCCGCAUAGUCUCAAGAGGUGGCCCCCAAUAUAAAAUCUCAUAAAACAGAAAUCUCAUUUGCUAAAAUCCACUUUCUCAUUCAUAGAAAACUCAUUGCAUUUUCGUACUUAUGCCAAUGAAAUUUCACACAUACAUAUACCCAUGUACGUAAUCACGCCCAGCACAUAACAACACAUCACAUAAACACAUGAGCAGAGACAUAUAAAUCCAUAAUCGUACGUAGAAAAAAUAGGCUCUUCACUCAAGUCAAACAUAUAUAUUGUUUAUUGUGAUUCAUUUAAAAGUCUAUUUAACUUACCUCUUGGCAUCCUCAUGCAACAAAUGCGUAUUGAUAUCAUCAACCUAAAAUCAUCAAUAAAUUUCUUAUAAAAUAUAAUCAAGUCUCAAUAAUAAACUCUAAUUUCCUCAGCUAUCUCAAUUUAAACAUCUCAUAAGCUCAACCUCAAAUGUCCUCAAUAAUCGGCCCUCAAAACAUAACAGUCCAUAUUCUCCGAUUUUUUAAUAAAUUAUUCCCUCAUUGGAAAACUCUCAAAUUUUACAGACCAUAUGCUGACAUAUUGAAAGUUCACUGAUGAAAAUUUCAUAACUUGAUUCCUUCAAAAACUAUUGAAAAUAAUUGACGUUUCAGACAUCAUCAAUGCUGUCAAACAGUUUUCUGUUUUGCACACACUUGCUUUAAAAAUACAAAAAAAUUUAUUUCUUUAUCAUAAAAUCAUGAAAAUUUACAGACUCAUACUAGACAUAUGUAAAAAUCUCUGAUCCAAAUUUUAUAAUUUUUGAAGAAGUCUAGCUAUGGUAAAAAUGGUUUCGUAAUUCACGUUAUGCACUGAAAUCAUAAAUUUUCAGGUUUCAGACUUGAAUUUGAAAAAUCGUAACUAAUUGAAAUCUUAUCCGAUUAACUUGAAACAAGUUUCAAAACAUUCUAGAUGAUGUCUAGUUUAACAUAUCCAAAUAUCAGAAUCAAAAUCAAUUUGUAAAAAUUACUAAGAUUUUCGUAAUAAUUCACUGUCAGCAUAUUUCUGCAAAAUCUUAAGUUUCUACUUCUAUUGCAAUCAUGCUUCUCCAUAACGAAUUAAUAAAGAAAACCAAGAAUUAAAACUUACCUCCAAAUCCAAAUCUUCUCUCAACAAUACCCAAUUCAAAUUAUGCAACUUGAUCUCAUGUGUUGCCCAUGACAGAAUAAAGAAGAAGACUUUCUUCUUUUCUUUUCUCUCUUUUCUCUCCAUCUCUCUCUCUCAUUUUUCCUAUUGUUUUUUUUUUCUCAACCGAUCUCUCUUUCCCUCUCUCUUAUAAUGAGAAAGGCAUACUAUUCUAUUUAUACUAGGGUAAAAAAUAGAUCACUAAAAUUAAAAGAUUUAAAUACCCUUAGGAGAAUUAGGGUAUUACAGUUCCCAUCAAUAACUAUCCUGAAAACUUCAGCACAGCUGUAGUCAAACGGCUACUGCCUAUUGUCACGGCCCGCUUGUUCCCAAGUUGUGCCGUGCGGCCUUAGGCGCCAAAUCACACUCUCUUAACCCUAAGUUAGCCUUGCACACUCCGAACGUUGCUGGAUUCAAAAGUCGAAAUGAGUAUUCACACAAACUCACUCAAGAUAGGAGGAAAGAACUCUUAUUGCUCAAAAAAAGCUUACAAUGCUUUGUGUGCUGGAACUUGUGUGUUUCUAGUGUGUCUUGAACCAAA
Molecule: long non-coding RNA, 2641 nt
Filed under: Citrus maxima (pomelo)
Lineage: Eukaryota; Viridiplantae; Streptophyta; Magnoliopsida; Sapindales; Rutaceae
Description: long non-coding RNA (CMAX_LNC002136)
Source: RNAcentral